This 609-nucleotide small RNA is filed under the name uncultured Sporolactobacillus sp. The record is from RNAcentral. Lineage: Bacteria; Bacillati; Bacillota; Bacilli; Caryophanales; Sporolactobacillaceae.
AGCAGAAGGUGCAGUAUUCUAGUCACUCCACUUUAUUUGAAGACGGGGCUAAAAAUCCGUCAAAGGGCACAUCGAUGAAGUUCCUGGUGUGGGCUUAAGGCGCCCAGCUUUGGGCCUGUGCUGGGAGUAAAGGACGUAGGGCGAUCCGCAACGGCAUGUGGGCGAAGACCCUGCGUUCGUGGAGACAUUCGGUCUGUUUACCCGGUGGGGUAACUCCGACCUGAUGGAAAACCUACUUGCCAGUACUCUUUCUGAAGGAGAGCGAGUAGCGUAGCCUGCCUUGAGUGGAAAAGAGGGGAUGGAAGAGCGGAACCGGCGGUUGCUAGGCCAGCGCCGUCGGCGUGAAUCUUCCUGAAAUCAAUUCUGCAAAAGAGGAUAGAAUAAAGUCCCAGGAGUGUUUGAGGAAAUCUCCUAGACUGUCUGCAUCCCAGCAGCGACUAAGAAGGAUUAUGGUGCGGCCUGAGUGGCGUUCCAGUUCGGCGACUGGCAACAUCGUCGGUCGAGCUUUAAAAGGAAACUACCCGCAUGGCGACAUCGGGCAGCUCGACGGGAAAACCUACUGGACCUAAGCCGUAAUGUUUACUUCUUGGGCGACCUCCUGUUUUACAU